AAUACGUUAAGGGACUACGUCUUAUUAAGUUCUAAAUAAUAAGCUGAUAAUGACAAUUUAUUAUUUAAAAGUCUUGACAAAAUCUUGUGCCAGCAGUCGCGGCAAUACAAGUAAGACAAGUGUUAUUCAUCUUUAUUAGGUUUAAAAUGUACCUAGAUUGCAACCAUAGCCUUAUUAGGGGACAGGGUAUGCUAGAGUUUUAUGUGAGAGGUAUAUGUUAGAGCUGCCGGUUUAGAGAUGAAAUAUGUUGACACUGGCAGAAAUGGUAACGGUAAAUACAGGCCUCUAUGUAAAAACUGACAUUGAGGGACGAAGGCCUGGGUAGCAAAUAGGAUUAGAUACCCUAGUAGUCCAGGCAGACAAUUAUGAGUGUUAUACAUCACGGUAUCGUAGUGUAUAAAUUAAAGUGUAAGCAUUCUACCUCAAGAGUAAUGCGGCAACGCAGGAACUGAAAUCAUUAGACCGUUUCUGAAACCAGUAGUGAAGUAUGUUGUUUAAUUCGAUGAUCCUCGAAUAACCUUACCACAAUUUGUAUGUAUAUAUUAGGUUUUUACAAGAUUUAUUUUGAUGCAAACUGUAUGCCAACUGUUACAACGGGCGUGUAUCUUAGUAAAUCGCAGUAUUAAUACUAUAUAACACAGGUGUUGCACGGUUGUCUUUAGUUGAUGUCGU
This 672-nucleotide ribosomal RNA is filed under the name Peltaster cerophilus. RNAcentral's name for it is "SSU rRNA". It matches the Rfam family "Bacterial small subunit ribosomal RNA", at positions 404 to 1068 of the family's 1533-position model. The record is from RNAcentral. Lineage: Eukaryota; Fungi; Ascomycota; Dothideomycetes.